RNAcentral lists this ribosomal RNA (498 nucleotides) under uncultured bacterium. RNAcentral's name for it is "bacterial SSU rRNA". It matches the Rfam family "Bacterial small subunit ribosomal RNA", at positions 28 to 518 of the family's 1533-position model. The record is from RNAcentral.
GAUGAACGCUAGCGACAGGCCUAACACAUGCAAGUCGAGGGGCAGCACAUGAGUAGCAAUACGAUGGUGGCGACCGGCGCACGGGUGAGUAACACGUAUGCAACCUGCCUGUAAGAGGGGAAUAACCCGGAGAAAUUCGGACUAAUACCGCAUAAUACCACGAGACUGCAUGGUUUUGUGGUUAAACAUUUAUGGCUUACAGAUGGGCAUGCGUAUGAUUAGAUAGUUGGUAGGGUAACGGCCUACCAAGUCUACGAUCAUUAGGGGUUCUGAGAGGAAGGUCCCCCACACUGGUACUGAGACACGGACCAGACUCCUACGGGAGCAGCAGUGAGGAAUAUUGGUCAAUGGGCGAGAGCCUGAACCAGCCAAGUCGCGUGAAGGAAGAAGGUUCUAUGGAUUGUAAACUUCUUUUGCAGGGGAAUAAAGGACGGUACGUGUACUGUUUUGUAUGUACCUUGCGAAUAAGGAUCGGCUAACUCCGUGCCAGCAGCCGAC